Molecule: ribosomal RNA, 554 nt
Filed under: Boana bischoffi (Bischoff's treefrog)
Lineage: Eukaryota; Metazoa; Chordata; Amphibia; Anura; Hylidae
Description: partial large subunit ribosomal RNA
Rfam family: Bacterial large subunit ribosomal RNA
Source: RNAcentral
UAUAAGAGGUCCAGCCUGCCCAGUGACCUAGUUCAACGGCCGCGGUAUCCUAACCGUGCGAAGGUAGCGUAAUCACUUGUUCUUUAAAUGAGGACUAGUAUGAAUGGCAUCACGAGGGUUACACUGUCUCCUUUUUUUAAUCAGUGAAACUAAUCUCCCCGUGAAGAAGCGGGGAUUUUCUUAUAAGACGAGAAGACCCUAUGGAGCUUUAAACAAACUAACACUUGCUGCCCAAAAUAACUUUUUCAGGAAACACGGCACACAGCAUAGCAAGAUGAUUAAUAGUUUUCGAUUGGGGUGAUCACGGAGUAAAAAAUAACCUCCAUGCCGAAAGGACCCUUCCCUGAGCAAAAAGCCACAACUUUAAGCACUAAAAAAAUUAACGUUUAUUGACCCAAUAUUUUGAUCAACGAACCAAGUUACCCUAGGGAUAACAGCGCAAUCCACUUCAAGAGCUCCUAUCGACAAGUGGGUUUACGACCUCGAUGUUGGAUCAGGGUAUCCUAGUGGUGCAGCCGCUACUAACGGUUCGUUUGUUCAACGAUUAAAACCCU